CUGGGGGAUAGCCUUUCGAAAGGAAGAUUAAUACCCCAUAAUAUACUGGAUGGCAUCAUCUGGUAUUGAAAACUCCGGUGGAUAGAGAUGGGCACGCGCAAGAUUAGAUAGUUGGUGAGGUAACGGCUCACCAAGUCAGCGAUCUUUAGGGGGCCUGAGAGGGUGAUCCCCCACACUGGUACUGAGACACGGACCAGACUCCUACGGGAGGCAGCAGUGAGGAAUAUUGGACAAUGGGUGAGAGCCUGAUCCAGCCAUCCCGCGUGAAGGACGACGGCCCUAUGGGUUGUAAACUUCUUUUGUAUAGGGAUAAACCUAGAUACGUGUAUCUAGCUGAAGGUACUAUACGAAUAAGCACCGGCUAACUCCGUGCCAGCAGCCGCGGUAAUACGGAGGGUGCAAGCGUUAUCCGGAUUUAUUGGGUUUAAAGGGUCCGUAGGCUGAUGUGUAAGUCAGUGGUGAAAUCUCACAGCUUAACUGUGAAACUGCCAUUGAUACUGCAUGUCUUGAGUGUUGUUGAAGUAGCUGGAAUAAGUAGUGUAGCGGUGAAAUGCAUAGAUAUUACUUAAAACACCAAUUGCGAAGGCAGGUUACUAAGCAACAACUGACGCUGAUGGACGAAAGCGUGGGGAGCGAACAGGAUUACAUACCCUGGUAGUCCACGCCGUAAACGAUGCUAACUCGCUUCUUGGGUUUUCGGAUUCAGAGACUAAGCGAAAGUGAUAAGUUAGCCACCUGGGGGAGUACGAA
RNAcentral lists this ribosomal RNA (750 nucleotides) under Chryseobacterium sp. 188C4. RNAcentral describes it as "bacterial SSU rRNA". It matches the Rfam family "Bacterial small subunit ribosomal RNA", at positions 136 to 886 of the family's 1533-position model. Lineage: Bacteria; Pseudomonadati; Bacteroidota; Flavobacteriia; Flavobacteriales; Weeksellaceae. The record is from RNAcentral.